This is a long non-coding RNA of Onychomys torridus (southern grasshopper mouse), 537 nucleotides long. RefSeq lists it as uncharacterized. Lineage: Eukaryota; Metazoa; Chordata; Mammalia; Rodentia; Cricetidae. The transcript has 3 exons. The record is from RefSeq and is a predicted model, not a curated record.
CUCACUACGUAGCCCGUGAUGUCCCUGAACUCCUGAUCUUGCUGCCUCCCGAUUCCUGGGGUGACAGGCAGGCUGGGGAUACAGCUCCAUGGUAACGCCUGUGACCAGCAUGCAUGAGCGAGGCAGCUUGAAUGAGGAAGGACCUCACAGCCUCCCGUAUCUGAACGUUUGCUCUCCAGUUGGUGGCACUGUUUUGGGGAGAUUAUGGAGCCUCUAACGCAUGGUGGCUCAUCUCUUCAACCAGAGCGGGAGACGGGGAGGGGAGAAAGAUGCCGAGUUCAACCAUAAACAAACCAACAGUCACCCAAACCAACUAAACAACUCCCUCCUCCGCCUAAAUCCGGAACCAUACGGCAUUGAUAUUCUCAAGUCUCCCAGCAGGUGGCGCAAGAGGCUAAUUCACGGCCAAGCAUUCCCGAAGCUUCAGAACACUGGUGGGUUUACCUUUUGAAACAUUGCUCUUACGAACCACCCCACAAAGUCUGUGCAAUGACUUAUGUUGACAGCACAUUAAAAAUAUGCUGGGGGGGUCCCCUU